AUCUACCCAGUGUUACAUGACCAGAGCAUUGACUCAUUACCUAAUUUCAAACUAAAUACGGAAACUCUCCAGCUAUUCUUGAGCGAGCUACCGUCCACCUACUCCAGCAAUACUACUCUGUAGUAUCUGCACGAUACCCAUGUAAAGGUAACAUUCAAACAGAAAGGGUGAGAAUUCAAAUCAUUAUGAAAUAGCAUAAUAAGGCACAAUGAAUUAAAACACAAUUUAAGAAUUCAUCACACUUGGUAUAAUUACGUCA
This 259-nucleotide long non-coding RNA is filed under the name Lathyrus oleraceus (garden pea). RNAcentral describes it as "Pisum sativum (pea) long non-coding RNA (PSAT_LNC030761)". The record is from RNAcentral. Lineage: Eukaryota; Viridiplantae; Streptophyta; Magnoliopsida; Fabales; Fabaceae.